GUUAUAAAAAUACAUGCAGGCUUUAUGUCCAUGUGCUCGGUAUACUGAUACUUUUUUCUUUACAAGUGUAAAAGCUAUAAAAUAGGCUAUAUAGGGACAUUUUAAAAGUAUAACAAAGAUGGAGGCAUAUUAUUUACAUACUAUUUUAAAAUGAAAGAGGGGUUUCGCUUUAUAUAACGCGUUUAUAUUGUAUAAAUUGCUGGAGGAAACCCAUCGCAAACUCAAAAACAUCUGAUAUUGUUUCAUAUUUACACAAAUUGCCCAUGUAAAAAGGAAUGUUUCUCAAUUCGCGUUCUUUUCUGUACUGGUGUACCAGCUAAUUAAUAUUAACAUUUGCUUUCAUUUCUAGAACACGACAACCAGAACCGCACAACCGCCUCCCAAGGUAUGACUAUACAUGGUGUUAAUAUGGAUUUGAUUUGUCAUCGGAUACUGAUUCCUCCCAUCAGAGAUUGUCUUCAGAUUCCUCCCAUCAGUGAUUGUCUUCAAAUAUGGAUUUGAUCAGUCAUGUAUCAAAUCCAUAUUUGAUACACGCCCGGCAUCGAAGCGGCUGGAGUUGCCUUCGAUGGACUUCUGAGAGCUGCCCGCAGUCGAUGGCCUAAGGUGUUUGUGCUCGAUUUCCCUCCCCGGCUGGCGAGUGAAUUGGCACCGCAACAAUUCCUUCGAGAGGAGUUUCGUCGCGUUGCAGCAAAGAACGAUACGGAUUCGUCCCGGCCAUUGUGUUCGACAAUGAUUGACGACAUGGACGAGAACGGGAACGGAGAUCCACUACCAGGCCCCUGAAAACACUCCAGGCCCCUGUAAAUCGAAGAUAUUGUAAAUAGUGUGAUUCUUUUUAUAUAGUGUGGUGUUGUAAAUAGUGUGGUUUUUUUUAAUUGUAUACUCCAAUAAAAACUCAAACAUCUGA
Gadus morhua (Atlantic cod) is the source of this 907-nucleotide long non-coding RNA. RefSeq lists it as uncharacterized. NCBI's taxonomy places the organism in Eukaryota, Metazoa, Chordata, Actinopteri, Gadiformes, Gadidae. The transcript is spliced from 4 exons. The record is from RefSeq and is a predicted model, not a curated record.